AUACGGGGGAUGCGAGCGUUAUCCGGAUUUAUUGGGUUUAAAGGGUGCGUAGGCUGUGCGUUAAGUCAGGGGUGAAAUGCCGUCGCUCAACGACGGAGCUGCCCUUGAUACUGGCGUGCUGGAGUACGGAUGCCGUUGGAGGAAUGAGUGGUGUAGCGGUGAAAUGCUUAGAUAUCACUCAGAACACCGAUUGCGAAGGCAUCUGACGAAUCCGUCACUGACGCUGAGGCACGAAAGCGUGGGGAUAGAACAGGAUUAGAUACCCUGGUAUUCCACGCCGUAAACGAUGAUGACUAACCGUCGGCGAUAGACAGCCGGUGGCCAAGCGAAAGCGAUAAGUCAUCCACCUGGGGAGUACGUCGGCAACGAUGAAACUCAAAUGAAUUGGCGGG
This 392-nucleotide ribosomal RNA is filed under the name uncultured bacterium. RNAcentral describes it as "partial 16S ribosomal RNA". It matches the Rfam family "Bacterial small subunit ribosomal RNA", at positions 523 to 917 of the family's 1533-position model. The record is from RNAcentral.